GACGAACGCUGGCGGCGUGCUUAACACAUGCAAGUCGAACGGAAAGGCCCUGCUUUUGUGGGGUGCUCGAGUGGCGAACGGGUGAGUAACACGUGGGUAACCUGCCCUUGACUUUGGGAUAACUUCAGGAAACUGGGGCUAAUACCGGAUAGGAGCUCCUGCUGCAUGGUGGGGGUUGGAAAGUUUCGGCGGUUGGGGAUGGACUCGCGGCUUAUCAGCUUGUUGGUGGGGUAGUGGCUUACCAAGGCUUUGACGGGUAGCCGGCCUGAGAGGGUGACCGGCCACAUUGGUACUGAGAUACGGCCCAGACUCCUACGGGAGGCAGCAGUGGGGAAUAUUGCACAAUGGGCGGAAGCCUGAUGCAGCAACGCCGCGUGCGGGAUGACGGCCUUCGGGUUGUAAACCGCUUUCGCCUGUGACGAAGCGUGAGUGACGGUAAUGGGUAAAGAAGCACCGGCUAACUACGUG
This 468-nucleotide ribosomal RNA is filed under the name uncultured bacterium. RNAcentral describes it as "partial 16S ribosomal RNA". It matches the Rfam family "Bacterial small subunit ribosomal RNA", at positions 28 to 507 of the family's 1533-position model. The record is from RNAcentral.